This 451-nucleotide ribosomal RNA is filed under the name uncultured bacterium. RNAcentral describes it as "partial 16S ribosomal RNA". It matches the Rfam family "Bacterial small subunit ribosomal RNA", at positions 28 to 523 of the family's 1533-position model. The record is from RNAcentral.
GAUGAACGCUGGCGGUAUGCCUAACACAUGCAAGUCGAACGGGCUCUUCGGAGCUAGUGGCGGACGGGUGAGUAACGCGUGAGAAUCUGCCUUCAGGAUGGGGAUAACAGGGAGAAAUCGCUGCUAAAACCCAAUGUGCCGAAAGGUGAAAUACUUGUGGCCAGAAGAGGAGCUCGCGUCCGAUUAGUUAGUUGGUGGGGUAAGAGCCUACCAAGGCAGCGAUCGGUAGCUGGUCUGAGAGGAUGAGCAGCCACACUGGGACUGAGACACGGCCCAGACUCCUACGGGAGGCAGCAGUGGGGAAUUUUCCGCAAUGGGCGAAAGCCUGACGGAGCAAUACCGCGUGAGGGAGGAAGGCUUUUGGGUUGUGAACCUCUUUUGUUAAGGAAGAAGAAAGUGACGGUACUUAAAGAAUAAGCAUCGGCUAACUCCGUGCCAGCCGCCGCGGUAA